Molecule: ribosomal RNA, 540 nt
Filed under: uncultured bacterium
Lineage: Bacteria
Description: bacterial SSU rRNA
Rfam family: Bacterial small subunit ribosomal RNA
Source: RNAcentral
UGAGGAAUAUUGGUCAAUGGGCGAGAGCCUGAACCAGCCAAGUAGCGUGCAGGAUGACGGCCCUCCGGGUUGUAAACUGCUUUUAGUUGGGAAUAAAAAAAGGGACUUGUCCCUUCUUGUAUGUACCUUCAGAAAAAGGACCGGCUAAUUCCGUGCCAGCAGCCGCGGUAAUACGGAAGGUCCAGGCGUUAUCCGGAUUUAUUGGGUUUAAAGGGAGCGUAGGCGGAUUGUUAAGUCAGCGGUUAAAGGGUGUGGCUCAACCAUGCAUUGCCGUUGAAACUGGCGAUCUUGAGUGCAGACAGGGAUGCCGGAAUUCGUGGUGUAGCGGUGAAAUGCUUAGAUAUCACGAAGAACUCCGAUCGCGAAGGCAGGUGUCCGGGCUGCAACUGACGCUGAGGCUCGAAAGUGUGGGUAUCAAACAGGAUUAGAUACCCUGGUAGUCCACACAGUAAACGAUGUAUACUCGCGGUUUGCGAUAGACAGUAAGCCGCCAAGCGAAAGCAUUAAGUAUACCACCUGGGGAGUACGCCGGCNACGGUG